Biomphalaria glabrata is the source of this 2227-nucleotide long non-coding RNA. RefSeq lists it as uncharacterized. The record is from RefSeq and is a predicted model, not a curated record. Lineage: Eukaryota; Metazoa; Mollusca; Gastropoda; Planorbidae. The transcript has 2 exons.
CAACAGAUGUGGCGACCCCAACGGCCAGGGCGUCAUUUUGAUCUACAAUCUAGUUAACUUCGUGUUCUGGAUAUAUCUACAGUUCUACACUUGGCGAAGUACACUGCAGAAGUACUGGAUUAACAUUCGUUUAUUUCUACUAGAUCUACCCUACGUCUGUGCUAAUUAUCUGGACUGCAGCUGGAUUUUGGCAUCUUUGUUCCAGUGGAUCUAGACUUUCUAUUAGAGAAAAUUCGAAACCGUUACCAGCGUCUAGCUUUGUCAGCCAGGUUGGAUAUUUUUAGAUUGAACCUGGAUCUAUAUAUAGAUCUAUAUUGACUAUAUCUAUUGUGUCUGAAUCCUGAACUAUUUCGUCCGUUGAAGUGAUCUAGGGCAGUCCGUCGUCAGUAUACCUCUACCUAUAUACCUCAAGAGUGAAGAUACCUCAUUUAGUCAGGUAUAUCUGUUUAUUGUGAGUACGGAAAGUCACCUGAGUCUACAUAUCUAGUAUCUACAAGCUGACCGUUGGAGUCACCUUGUCAGGUUUGUUUUUCAAGCUAUUGACUGUUGCAGUGUUGCUGAGCUUGCAAUCUAAUCUACACACGAGUGAUGGUAUACCCUACUACCAUACUGCGUGACCAUCUAUUCAAAUUGUAAAGUUGACUAAUUUAUAUUCAUCAAAAGAGAGAGUUGGACUUAGUCAUUUUUUUUUACCUCUCUUGAGACAGCACCACCAGCUUGUCUCAGUAUUGACUUAUGUUCCUGACCUGAAGACAGAAGCCAGCACCAUACCAACAGAUCAUCAAGUGGAACCGGAACCCUGGAACCUGACCAGAGGACUUUAUCUGAGAACCGUACCAUACUGUGGCAGCACCAGGAGAGAUUGGCCUAACUCAGUACUGCCUGUCGAAUAGCCUUUGUGGGAGCACACCUUGCCUUGCCUAAGACUAAGAUAGUGGGGAACUUGUGUGGAACUGACCGUUGUAGCUCCGUGGACUGAACAAAGGGGAUCUAACUAAAGAUAAGUUUAUUUUUUCUCUCCAUUAUUAUUAAAGUCUAUUAGGGACAGUAGAUCUUUGUUAAGAGCAGGUUGCCUGAUAAGGGCGUCAUUAUAGGACACAUUAGAAAGUGGACCUGCUCCAUUUAAUAAAGUCUCGAUAAUUGUUUAGAUUGUCUUGUUUUGUUCGUAUCCACAUACAUUUUAUUUUUUUUUUAGAAGUCAGGUGAAGUUAUCUUUAUUUGUCUCUUUCAGUGUAUACUUCCUCUAAAAAGUCUCAUCUCAAUAGAUUUAUUUUUUUGUGUCUUAUUAUGUUUAUUUUACAUUAUUCUUAUUAUAUAUUAGUAAUUUUAUCUUAAGUAGAUAAGGUAAGCCACGUUUAAUCUAGAUUAUAAAUUCUAGAUUGUUUCCAGGUAUUAACUAAAUUGUUAUACCUAUGAGAGCCUUAGAUCUAUUUUAUCCUGAAGACAACUGAGUCUAAGGAGAAAGGUUUGGUGUGAUGUGAGGCGAUCAACAAUGCACGUAUAGCCAAUGACAGUAUUUACUCUGAAAAACUCUGUUUUAUGCCUAUGGAUUCAGCAAAGGCAUCUUCGUAUGUAGACUAUAUACAUGUGUAUUUACUCUGAAAAACUCUGUUUUAUGUCUGUGGAAUCGACAAAGGCAUCGUCGUAUGGGGACUGUAUACAUGUCUUGAUGGACUUAGUACUAUUGGUUGGUGAAACUAUUACACUGGACUAUACUAUUUUAUCGUCAAUGACAUGAGUGAUGAUUAGAACACCGUAUACCAGAUGUUUUCUUACUAAUAACUGUAUUGGAACUGUACAUAUUGUUUUCUUGGUGUCAACAUUCAACUACAGUGUGAACUUUGUGACAUAGGAACAUGGACACCAGGAACUGAUGAAGAUGGGAAACAUGAUGAUGUCCAUCAAGAUCAAGAUAUAUGUUUGUUUUGUCUUUCCCCAAAAUUUUGGCCAUGUAUAUUGUACAGACAUGACAGUAGGGAUAGUGUUUUAGACUGAAAAAAAAAAUUGACAAAAUUUUUUUUUUGAUAAAGGGGGGAGGAAAUAUGUAAUGACACAAAAUGCGUAGAAGUUGAUGUGAAUCGGGUUUUUCCUAAGUAAUGUGACGAGUAAGAACAGAGUAGGAUGACGAACAAGAAGAAUAACGGACAAGACGCCUAGGAGGACGACGCUAGGCUAGCGACGACAGAGGACUGUGCCCUUUUUAUUGUUUAUUAAAUUGUUGAAGUUA